GAUGAACGCUGGCGGCGUGCCUAAUACAUGCAAGUCGAGCGAACAGAUGAGGAGCUUGCUCCUCUGACGUUAGCGGCGGACGGGUGAGUAACACGUGGAUAACCUACCUAUAAGACUGGGAUAACUUCGGGAAGCCGGAGCUAAUACCGGAUAAUAUAUUGAACCGCAUGGUUCAAUAGUGAAAGACGGUUUUGCUGUCACUUAUAGAUGGAUCCGCGCCGCAUUAGCUAGUUGGUAAGGUAACGGCUUACCAAGGCAACGAUGCGUAGCCGACCUGAGAGGGUGAUCGGCCACACUGGAACUGAGACACGGUCCAGACUCCUACGGGAGGCAGCAGUAGGGAAUCUUCCGCAAUGGGCGAAAGCCUGACGGAGCAACGCCGCGUGAGUGAUGAAGGUCUUCGGAUCGUAAAACUCUGUUAUUAGGGAAGAACAAAUGUGUAAGUAACUAUGCACGUCUUGACGGCACCUAAUCAGAAAGCCACGGCUAACUACGUG
This 497-nucleotide ribosomal RNA is filed under the name uncultured bacterium. RNAcentral describes it as "partial 16S ribosomal RNA". It matches the Rfam family "Bacterial small subunit ribosomal RNA", at positions 28 to 507 of the family's 1533-position model. The record is from RNAcentral.